This 127-nucleotide small RNA is filed under the name Marmota monax (woodchuck). The record is from RNAcentral. Lineage: Eukaryota; Metazoa; Chordata; Mammalia; Rodentia; Sciuridae.
GUCGGGCGCGGUGGCUCGCGCCUGUGACUCAGCAGCUCGGGAGGCUGAGGCAGGAGGAUUGCAAGUUCAAAGCCAGCCUCAGCAACUUUAGUGAGGCCCUAAGCAACUUAGCAAGACCCUGUCUCUA